This 3925-nucleotide long non-coding RNA is filed under the name Triticum aestivum (bread wheat). Its description in RNAcentral is "long non-coding RNA (TAES_LNC006734)". The record is from RNAcentral. Lineage: Eukaryota; Viridiplantae; Streptophyta; Magnoliopsida; Poales; Poaceae.
UUGUUAGUUAUCCUGAGAAAGACCAUGCCUCCACAGUGCGUUAUACAAAUAUUCCAUGCUAUCAAAGGCACUUCCGAUCUAACAAAGAUUCAAAUGCCAAGCCUAACAAUGAAUAACAACAAACAACCACAUUCUAAAAUGUACUAAACUUGGAUAUGCACUUUGUUACUUCAUUUUAUAAACCGUUAUAAGCGCUAUAAUUUCUUUCAUUUAUCUGAUUUAAUUGUCCCAAACUCCCAAUACAUAUUUAAACCGUGUUGUGGGCUUACAAGAGACAAAUGACAAAUUCAAAAUAAUGGGCCAGCCCAAGUUACUUGACUAGGCGAUGUUAAUCCACUUACUCACUUCAUGACCAUCCCCUCCUUCUCCAAUCUCUCACUCACCCUGUAGUUUCCACCGCAUCGCCGCUGCUCCUCUGCAUCGGAGAGACGUCUUCAAUUGCAAGAUCCACUCCUGCACGCACAAGAUCUAAUUCCUCCAAUGUACGCAUCGCGUCACCAGGUCAGUUCGUUAGCUGGAUCCUCACCAGGUCAGGCUACCUCAACCACUUCCAAGUGAACCUUCACAAACAACACAGUAUUACCUCUAAAAGAUAGCAAGUAAAUCCGGAGUAUUUCAGUUUUGAGCUGAUGAUUUUUUCCUAGAGGCAAGGUCAUAGAUAGCAAAGUUUUACUUUUCAAACAAAGGCAGUAGUGUAAUUAUUAGCCAUCAUUAAAAUCAAUAUUGUCUCAUGAAAAUGCCUACCCUGUUGACCCACUAAUGGCAACUACAAAAAUGUUUGAUUCAUCACGCCUAAUUCAAAUUAGCUUCAAUGCCUCAUGUUUACUUCCAUAGCCUAAACUAAUAAAUCACUGAAACUUCUUCUCUGCUAAACCUAUGUCUACUUGCUAAUCAACACCCGAGUAAUAACAUGGUAGAUCAUCAUACAUGUUUAUCUCCUGUUUUCUUGAUGUCUGAGUAACAGUAUAUGCAUGUGUACUCUACAGUUUAAACAAGCUCAACGCCCUACUAUUCUGGUUGAUAGCUGACUGUUGAGUCAUUGGCACUAAGGUUGCUAAUAGAACGGCGCACUUACAGAGAGUCCAUGAACAAGAUAGAAAGCAGAAAAUAUAACAUAAAAUAGAGAUGUAAUUCCCCUUUCUACUAUGAUGUAUAUGCUUGUUUAGGGCAAACCAUAUAUUUUCAGAAAUUUGUACCUUAUCAGCUAUUUGAUUUGGUUACCGCAGUUCGGUCUUUUCCCUCUUGUGAGUUCUGCACCAUCCUCACAUGAUUCAUCAACAACCACCUAGAAACGAUCAGCAGAGAAAAAAAAUCAAAGUGAAAUCAAAUGGAAUCGCAUGUAGGUAGUAGCAAAGUACGAUAUGUCACUCUAUUGGCACUUCGCCUGUACACCAUGCAACAUCAAGUGAGGCAUGAGCAAUAAAGUGAUCAGAUACCAACAUCAUGUAUUAAGCACAAAUCAUGAAUCAAUACCAGAGGACCAAAUAGUGUCACCACCUCUGUACUAACAACCAAACUUUUUUUAGAAGAACAGGGAGGCUCUAACAACCAACGUUUUAGCAUGUCAUUUGUUUAACAACCAAGCCGUUUACCAAGCAAAACCACAAUAGCUAAAUCUCCCAAGAGCAUACUUUCAGAGAAGCACAGUCUAGAUCAUGCACCCACAAAUAAACGACUUGGUUUUCAACUGGCAUAAUGAUUUCCUUCCUACCGCAAACCUCUGCCUGCAGCUUUAAACUGAACCAUCAAGUUCGAAUGUCAUUUAUCUACAAAAGUAUUGCCAUGGCAGUCUAAUUUCCCAAGGGCAGGAGUGAAAUAUACUUUCAGAAUGUGCAGUUCAGAUCAUGCAGUUAGAAAUAAACUUUAUGGUAGUAACUCUACAGGACUUGCUAUUCAAUUAUCUUUUCUAGUACCCAUUUUGAACACGACACAAUGAUUAGCUCCUAUUAUGUAAGGUCACACUAUUUAAAUCGAGAAUUGCUCGCAUUUUCAUGAUUUUUUUAGUUAUCCUAGUAGUGUUUACUUGCACAUCAGGAGUAUCACAGUUACAGCUAGAGAGGCAUUGUCCUAUCAUAAUUUAAAUAUCAGAAGCUGACAGCAGUAAUGUAAAUACAUAUGGUCGAGACAUAAUUUUGUAGCAAAACAUGUCAGAGAGGCAAUAGAUUACAUGUGAAGGCACCCACACAAGAUUAUUACAAGAGCAGACACAAGGAUCAGAACACUAAGUAACAAUUAGAAUCUGUAUUGCGAGCUCCCUUCCCCCAUUCUAUUUUUGCUUGACAUUCAAACCAAAAACAAAGUAAUUCUUUUUAAUUUCCAAAGCACAUGUGAAUAUGACAAUACAACUUGUCAAACCAGUACAUUGACUCAUAGCUCUGUGUCUAACAUUCAAAUUUAAAAUUAAGUAACUCUAUUUUGUUCUUAACGAAAACAAAAAGGACCUCAGAAAGCCCAAGUAGCACCAAAAAAAUAUAACACGGGAUAUUAAAAAAACACUGAAGCAUCAGAGUAGAGAGUAAUUAUCAAAUAGAAACAAAAGGAAAACAAAAGCAAGAAGCUCCCAUCCCCCAUCUGUUUUUGUUUUCUUUCACUUAUAUACACCAGACCAAUAGACAAGCACUUUAACUAUAAAAAACAUAAUUCCUAAUUCAAGAACAUAGUUGAAUAUUGGAGCACCACAUACUACUCUUCGUAAAGUAAAACCAGGCAUGUGAAGUCUCGCUUGACGGACGCUGCUUAGGAAGGAUUCAAUUAUGCUAUUGUUCAGUAGGUACAUUACAAAGCCCGUUCAUGCUAACAGUAGUAGAUUCUUGUAAUCACACUUCAUGUUCUAUUUUCUAAAUAAAAUAAAUGAUCUCGCUAUAGCAGAAAACAAUACAUGCAUAUAGCUGACUGAAUUACCUCGCAAAGGUUCUGUUCUUGCAUUUCUACAUCGCCCUUGGUGCUGAAAAUAUAUAAAACAUCAGGCCAACGCUUAACAAGAUUUUGAUACUUCAGGUGAUAGGAGCACAUCCUACCAGAAGUUUAGAACAAGAUGCACCAGAAGAACAGAUAAACUGAACUGUAGACAGUUACCCCAAACACAUAACAGGAACUGACAAACUUAACUGCAACAAAUCAUUAUACUCCACAGGAGCAAAAGAAAAUAGAACCGAAAGAGGAAGCACAAACCUUGGCAGCAAGAAUAACAACAUGUGAGCCGACAAGAUGGUGGAAGAGCGGCAUCAUCUGCAACACAAACAGAAAGAACAUAGGAAGAACUGAUCAGACAGAUAAAACACAUGAAAAUGUAUAUAAGACAACCAAUGGUAGUACAUAUAGGUGAAUUAAAAUGCAUUGGGUCAGCCAAAAACAGAGAAAACAUAACUGAUGAGAGCACAUAAAAGUAGAAAUAUGGGAAAGGAAGCCAAUGGUACAAUAGACAAAUUGUAAUGCAUGUGCUAAAAUAAAUGGGCUCAUCCUAGAGUCGUAGACCACCCGUCAAAUAAUCACCACAACACAUCCAAGCAGAAAUCCAGGGAAUGCCAAAGGCAGAAUAGACAAGCUCCAAAAUCGAUCUAGCUAGUCCAGGCAAGACAGGGGAAUGGGCUGCUGCAAUCAAAGUUAUAUGCAAGAUUCAGUAACAGAUUACUUCGUUGCCGCUGACUCAGAACUGAACUAAGCUAGGCAUACCCGCUGGAUUCAGGAACAUAUUACUUCGUUGCCGCUGACUCAGAACUGAAGUAAGCUAGGCAUACCCGCUGGAUUCAGGAACAGAUUACUUUGUUGCCGCUGACUCGGAACUGAACUAAGCUAGGCACCCGAGCACCGCGCUAGUCUGCUAGAAUCCAGCGGGUAUGCCAACAAAUAUCCUCGUUUGAUAUGCCAACAAAGAUCACACACAUGGGGAGGUUGUCAAAACCAAUACAUCAGCACACAUCGCUUU